GCAGUCGGGGGGCAGCGCAGUGUAGCAAUACAUGGGCGGCGACCGGCAAACGGGUGCGGAACACGUACGCAACCUUCCUUCAAGCGGGGGAUAGCUUUCGGAAACGGAAAUUAAUACCCCAUAGUACUAUCUGAGGGCAUCUGAGGAUAGUUAAAGAUUUAUCACUUGAAGAUGGGCGUGCGGCUGAUUAGGUAGUUGGCGGAGUAACAGCCCACCAAGCCAACGAUCAGUAACUGGUGUGAGAGCACGACCAGUCACACGGGCACUGAGACACGGGCCCAACUCCUACGGGAGGCAGCAGUAAGGAAUAUUGGUCAAUGGACGCAAGUCUGAACCAGCCAUGCCGCGUGGAGGAUGAAGGUCCUCUGGAUUGUAAACUUCUUUUAUCGGAGAAGAAACCCCUGAAUUCUUUUAGGGUUGACGGUACCCGAUGAAUAAGCACCGGCUAACUCCGUGCCAGCAGCCGCGGUAAUACGGAGGGUGCAAGCGUUAUCCGGAUUCACUGGGUUUAAAGGGUGCGUAGGCGGGUUGGUAAGUCAGUGGUGAAAUCUCUAAGCUUAACUUGGAAACUGCCGUUGAUACUAUCAAUCUUGAAUAUUGUGGAGGUAAGCGGAAUAUGUCAUGUAGCGGUGAAAUGCUUAGAUAUGACAUAGAACACCGAUAGCGAAGGCAGAUUGCUACACAAUUAUUGACGCUGAGGCACGAAAGCGUGGGGAUCAAACAGGAUUAGAUACCCUGGUAGUCCACGCCCUAAACGAUGGAUACUCGACAUACGCGAUACACAGUGUGUGUCUGAGCGAAAGCAUUAAGUAUCCCACCUGGGAAGUACGACCGCAGGUUGAAACUCAAAGGAA
Molecule: ribosomal RNA, 854 nt
Filed under: uncultured bacterium
Lineage: Bacteria
Description: bacterial SSU rRNA
Rfam family: Bacterial small subunit ribosomal RNA
Source: RNAcentral